CAGGACGGGAGUCCGGCGGGUUACAGCGGAGGCCUAGGUGGCAGACAGGGGGCCCGGGCCGCUGCGUGUUGUCCACCCAAGAUGGAGUUCCUCCUGGGGAACCCGUUCAGCACACCAGUGGGGCAGUGCCUCGAAAAUGCCACACAAACACAACCAUGGGUAUUUAGCUCUACUGAAACAGAUGAGGGAAGUAAGGCUGACAGAGGAGCUCAAAUCAGUUCUGAUUUUUCUCUUCAUAAAAGAAUUUCCAUUCUGCAGCAUUCAUUCAGGAAGCACUCAUGAAGAGCCUACCAG
Molecule: long non-coding RNA, 294 nt
Filed under: Homo sapiens (human)
Lineage: Eukaryota; Metazoa; Chordata; Mammalia; Primates; Hominidae
Description: HSALNT0238082
Source: RNAcentral